AGUUGUACUUGCCCGAAGUUUGGCGUUCUGAGAACGUGAAUCGGUUAGUGACAUAAGGGGGGAGGGCAUCGGCAAUGAAGAUUCUAACGAGCGAUAAACGAAUUUUGGGCGUCGAGGAGAACGUGACACUGUGUAA
Caenorhabditis elegans is the source of this 136-nucleotide non-coding RNA. Lineage: Eukaryota; Metazoa; Nematoda; Chromadorea; Rhabditida; Rhabditidae. The record is from Ensembl.